AUUCUGGCUCAGAAUGAACGCUGGCGGCGUGCAUAACACAUGCAAGUCGAACGAGAAACUCCGGGCUUGCUCGGAGGAGUAAAGUGGCGCACGGGUGAGUAACGCGUGGGUAACCUACCCCUGAAUUUGGAAUAACCCGCCGAAAGGCGGACUAAUACCGGAUAUUGUCUCGGGGACGCAUGUUCCUGAGAUGAAAGGUGACCUCUUCACGAAAGUUGUCGUUCAGGGAGGGGCUCGCGUACCAUUAGCUAGUUGGUAGGGUAAUGGCCUACCAAGGCAGCGAUGGUUAGCUGGUCUGAGAGGAUGAUCAGCCACACUGGAACUGGAACACGGUCCAGACUCCUACGGGAGGCAGCAGUGAGGAAUUUUGCGCAAUAGGGGAAACCCUGACGCAGCAACGCCGCGUGAGUGAAUGAAGGCCUUCGGGUCGUAAAGCUCUGUCAAGUGGGAAAAAAGUCAACCGGUGAAUAGCCGGUUGACCUGAUGGUACCACUAGAGGAAGCACCGGCUAACUCCGUGCCAGCCGCUGC
This 530-nucleotide ribosomal RNA is filed under the name uncultured bacterium. RNAcentral's name for it is "bacterial SSU rRNA". It matches the Rfam family "Bacterial small subunit ribosomal RNA", at positions 16 to 518 of the family's 1533-position model. The record is from RNAcentral.